Molecule: long non-coding RNA, 733 nt
Organism: Telopea speciosissima
Lineage: Eukaryota; Viridiplantae; Streptophyta; Magnoliopsida; Proteales; Proteaceae
Exons: 2
Source: RefSeq, a predicted model, not a curated record
AGAGAGAGAGAAGGAAAGAGUUAAAGCUAAGUGCUGGCCGGGUUUCGUUUGUUGGCGAAUCGGUUAGGACUGACUCGGAAGACAAAGGUUAGACUCCGGUUGAUGGAUUGGUGGCAUAAGAUGAUUUUUCCUAUGAGGAGAGUUUGGGUUGCUGCUGUUGCUCGUGUUAGGUCUCGCAAGAACGGGCGUGGACUUCUGAAACUUCGCAACGAUGUACAAACUUGUGGAUACCAAGAUGUGCAGGUGAUGUGGGAGAUGUUGAGGAGAACAGAAUCCGAGCUGACCACUCACACUACUACCAAACGCAAACAGCGACCCUUUUGGAGAGUCUUGGUUUGGUCCAACAACAGAAGCCCACCAUCUUCACCGAAAUGAGUUCGAGGUCAAAAAUACCUACACAUCUUGCAUACAAAACCUACAAAACAUAUAUAUCCCAUUCCCAUCUCAUGUCAUACACAAAUAAGAUCACUCCACCAUUGUCUCUGAAAUAUAUCUUUGUCCUUUGAAAAUAUCUCAAUGUAUGUACAUAGAUAGCUAUAUUUCUAUCCGGGUUUACCGUUGUUAAGGUUUUUAGCUCUUCUUCUCCCCCACUUCACCUUUAUAGAGUGAUGUUUUGUUAGAUAGACAUACCAGAGAUGUUCAGAAGAGUUUUUGAGGAGCCAUUUUGUUGCAGUUGUGGGAAUGUUCAAAUUGUCUCUACACAGAAAAAAUAAGGCCCUGUGUUUCAAUUGUU